UGAAGAGUGAAGGGAGCGGAGAGAAGCGGCAGCCGGAGCUGUGGAAGGAGCUUUAAAAAUAUAUAAAACAGAAGGAGAGCCCCCCAGAAUAUUGGAGCAGCACCCCAGGAGCGGAGGGCGGCAGCACCUGCACAGGGUUCUCAGUAACCAACGGAAUGACCCUUAUAAAUGCACAGUGUUCCCUGCGGAUGAAGGUUACAACCCGUAUUAGCUGUAGUACAUCUAUCCUCUAGAUCAUUGAUUCCUCCGAUCGAUACAUCCUCAUUAAUUGCAAUGAUUCUGAUGUAAGUUAUAAAGAUCCUACGAUCGCCGGCCUGGUUGUCGGAGAAUUUGUCUCAGCGGGUAGAAGUUGGACAUGGUUCUCUGCCUGUUGUUGAUGGAUACAUUGUGAUUGUGCGGAUGGAGAGGAUACUAUGGAGAGGAUACAAAGUGGCUUCUUUACAAUGAAGAGGUGGCGGACCCUUAACUCCUCGGGGGACGGCUAUUGCUGCAAAACCCAAACAAUUUAUUACUUGCAACAAAGGUGGAAAAAAAGAUGGAUAGGACCUAUAAAUUUCUCCAUGGGAACACAAAGCGUUUUAUUGGGGAGCUGCUGGAGAAUUACACCGAGCGGCAGCUGAUGGGAAGAUGAGAAUGGCCGCAUGGAAUGAGUGAGGACCAAGGGUGGCAGCGGCACAGACAGAAGAGAUUGAGAGCCUGCAUUAGCCCCGCGCUGCUAUAGAAGCAUAGAAAUGCCUUAUAUUUCAGGAAGAUUGUGGAGCCAGAAAUGGACAGAUUUACGGCCGGAAUAAAGAAAACACUCAUGUACGAUGCCAAAACUGUGCCACUGAUUGAUGCAAUACUGAAGACUUAUUGACCGGUUAUACGGGAGAAGAUUGGACUUGAUUUGGACGAGGCUAUAAGGAGCACUGGCAUUGACUUUUUUAUUUUCAGAUUGCAGGGAUGCGUGUCCUUGUUCAAUGUAUUGAUUCUGAGAUAUAUGUUAGAAGCUGUAUCUAUCUGUUUGUUUUAUUAUAUUUCAGGUCGACACUGAAAAUACAUAUAUGGUACAACAAUAUGAGAUGGAUUGGCUUUGCCAAAAAUAACACAGAACAUUGAUGCGUAACAGCGGCCCACACAGCAGUGUUGUAAUUGUUUUGUAAGUGGCAUCAUAUAUGAGUUGUGCGAGUCAAUACAAAUGUCACACAAAGAUGAAUAAUAUAACGGCUGUAAAGAUGUAAAAUUAAGAAGUGUGUGCAGAAAGAGCCAUCAGGAGGAUUCAGUGGAGAAAAAAGUGAGUUUUGGGGGGGCAUUUUUUUAGCUUAUUUUUGAUUAAAAGAGGCUAAACUCCAAAAAAUGAAUAUAUUUUCUAUCGGCCCAACCUGAACUAAUAAAAUAAUAAC
This is a long non-coding RNA of Hyla sarda, 1382 nucleotides long. RefSeq lists it as uncharacterized. The record is from RefSeq and is a predicted model, not a curated record. The transcript is spliced from 4 exons. Lineage: Eukaryota; Metazoa; Chordata; Amphibia; Anura; Hylidae.